UUGGGUCCUUCACUCAGUCUCAACUUAGCUUGUCCCUCUCUCUCUCUCUCUCUCUCUCUCUCUCUCUUCUCUUCCCCCGCUCUCUCUCUCUCUCUCUCUCUCUCUCUCUCUCCCUCUCAUAUUUCUAGGUGUCUUGAAAUCACCAUUAUCGCUCCGGGAAUCGCCUAUGGUGGUGGCAAGCCUAGAACACACCCAAACAUACAUCAACAUGGAGCUCUCCCCACCCUCUA
RNAcentral lists this long non-coding RNA (230 nucleotides) under Lathyrus oleraceus (garden pea). Its description in RNAcentral is "Pisum sativum (pea) long non-coding RNA (PSAT_LNC000491)". The record is from RNAcentral. Lineage: Eukaryota; Viridiplantae; Streptophyta; Magnoliopsida; Fabales; Fabaceae.